Molecule: ribosomal RNA, 269 nt
Filed under: uncultured bacterium
Lineage: Bacteria
Description: partial 16S ribosomal RNA
Rfam family: Bacterial small subunit ribosomal RNA
Source: RNAcentral
CGUAAACAAAGGGAAGCGAAGGAGUGAUUUGGAGCGAAUCCCAAAAAUAACGUCUCAGUUCGGAUUGUAGUCUGCAACUCGACUACAUGAAGCUGGAAUCGCUAGUAAUCGCGAAUCAGAAUGUCGCGGUGAAUACGUUCCCGGGUCUUGUACACACCGCCCGUCACACCAUGGGAGUCAGUAACGCCCGAAGUCAGUGACCCAACCGGAACAGGAGGGAGCUGCCGAAGGUGGGACCGAUAACUGGGGUGAAGUCGUAACAAGGUAAC